AUAUUGGUCAAUGGCCGUAAGGCUGAACCAGCCAAGUAGCGUGAGGGAAGACUGCCCUAUGGGUUGUAAACCUCUUUUAUGCGGGGAUAAAGGUGUCCACGUGUGGAUGUCUGCAGGUACCGCAUGAAUAAGGACCGGCUAAUUCCGUGCCAGCAGCCGCGGUAAUACGGAAGGUCCGGGCGUUAUCCGGAUUUAUUGGGUUUAAAGGGAGCGUAGGCCGGUCUUUAAGCGUGCCGUGAAAUUUUGUGGCUCAACCAUGAGAGUGCGGCGCGAACUGGAGACCUUGAGUGCGCGGAAGGCAGGCGGAAUUCGUGGUGUAGCGGUGAAAUGCUUAGAUAUCACGAAGAACCCCGAUUGCGAAGGCAGCCUGCCGCAGCGUUACUGACGCUGAAGCUCGAAAGCGCGGGUAUCGAACAGG
Molecule: ribosomal RNA, 418 nt
Filed under: uncultured bacterium
Lineage: Bacteria
Description: bacterial SSU rRNA
Rfam family: Bacterial small subunit ribosomal RNA
Source: RNAcentral